UGGGGAAUAUUGCACAAUGGGCGCAAGCCUGAUGCAGCCAUGCCGCGUGUAUGAAGAAGGCCUUCGGGUUGUAAAGUACUUUCAGUCGGGAGGAAGGUGGUAAGGUUAAUAACCUUAUCAAUUGACGUUACCGACAGAAGAAGCACCGGCUAACUCCGUGCCAGCAGCCGCGGUAAUACGGAGGGUGCAAGCGUUAAUCGGAAUUACUGGGCGUAAAGCGCACGCAGGCGGUCUGUCAAGUCGGAUGUGAAAUCCCCGGGCUCAACCUGGGAACUGCAUUCGAAACUGGCAGGCUAGAGUCUUGUAGAGUGGGGUAGAAUUCCAGGUGUAGCGGUGAAAUGCGUAGAGAUCUGGAGGAAUACCGGUGGCGAAGGCGGCCCCCUGGACAAAGACUGACGCUCAGGUGCGAAAGCGUGGGGAGCAAACAGG
This 429-nucleotide ribosomal RNA is filed under the name Chloroflexota bacterium. RNAcentral describes it as "Chloroflexi bacterium partial 16S ribosomal RNA". It matches the Rfam family "Bacterial small subunit ribosomal RNA", at positions 355 to 776 of the family's 1533-position model. The record is from RNAcentral. Lineage: Bacteria; Bacillati; Chloroflexota.